GACGAACGCUGGCGGCGUGGAUUAGGCAUGCAAGUCGAACGGUAUCAUCCUUUCGGGGGUGAGAGAGUGGCGAACUGGUGAGUAACACGUAGGUUAUCUACCCUCAAGACGGGGACAACCCAGGGAAACUUGGGCUAAUACCGGAUGUGAGCAACUUUUAGUUGUUUGAAAGGUGGCGUAAGCUGUCGCUUGGGGAUGAGCCUGCGUCCUAUUAGUUAGUUGGUGAGGUAACGGCUCACCUAGGCAAUGAUAGGUAGGCGGCCUUAACGGGUGGUCGCCCACACUGGGAUUGAGAUACGGCCCAGACUCCUACGGGGGGCAGCAGUCUAGAGGCUUCCGCAAUGGGGGAAACCCUGACGGAGCGACGCCGCGUGUGGGAUGAAGUCUUUCGGGAUGUAAACCAUUUUCGCUGGGAAAGAAGGUCUCAGUCGUGAACUGAGAAUUGACGGUACCCGGUAAAGAAGCCCCGGCUAACUCCGUG
Molecule: ribosomal RNA, 481 nt
Filed under: uncultured bacterium
Lineage: Bacteria
Description: bacterial SSU rRNA
Rfam family: Bacterial small subunit ribosomal RNA
Source: RNAcentral